GGAAGUAAAAGUCGUAACAAGGUUUCCGUAGGUGAACCUGCGGAAGGAUCAUUAUUGAUUUUUCUAAUGAGGAGUUGAGUUGUUGCUGGCCUCUGGGGAUUAAUUUCUCCAAGGCAUGUGCACACCUUCUCUUUCAUCCACACACCCCUGUGCACUUGUGAGACAGUAAGGUUUCUUUUUUUGGGGGGCCUUGCUGUCUACUUAAUCUACACACACUCUAUUUAUUUUAAAACGAAUGUAAUUGAUGUAACGCAUCUAAUACUAAGUUUCAACAACGGAUCUCUUGGCUCUCGCAUCGAUGAAGAACGCAGCGAAAUGCGAUAAGUAAUGUGAAUUGCAGAAUUCAGUGAAUCAUCGAAUCUUUGAACGCACCUUGCGCUCCUUGGUAUUCCUUGGAGCAUGCCUGUUUGAGUAUCAUGAAAUCUUCAAAGUAAACCUUUUUUGUUAAUUCAAUUUAGGUCUCUUACUUUGGUCUUGGAGGUUAUUGCAGCUUCACACCUGCUCCUCUUUGUGCAUUAGCUGGAUCUCAGUGUGUUAUGCUUGGUUCCACUCAGCGUGAUAAGUUAUCUAUCGCUGAGGACACUGGUAAAAAGGUGGCCAAGGUAAACGCAGAUGAACCGCUUCCAAUAGUCCAUUGACUUGGACAAUUAUUUAUGAUCUGAUCUCAAAUCAGGUAGGACUACCCGCUGAACUUAAGCAUAUCAAUAAGCGGAGGA
RNAcentral lists this ribosomal RNA (716 nucleotides) under Rhizoctonia solani. Its description in RNAcentral is "eukaryotic LSU rRNA". The stretch from base 264 to 417 matches the Rfam family "5.8S ribosomal RNA". Lineage: Eukaryota; Fungi; Basidiomycota; Agaricomycetes; Cantharellales; Ceratobasidiaceae. The record is from RNAcentral.